This 234-nucleotide unclassified non-coding RNA is filed under the name plant metagenome. RNAcentral's name for it is "partial contains small subunit ribosomal RNA, internal transcribed spacer 1, and 5.8S ribosomal RNA". The record is from RNAcentral.
UUUCCGUAGGUGAACCUGCGGAAGGAUCAUUACCGAGUGAGGGCCCUCUGGGUCCAACCUCCCACCCGUGUUUAUUUACCUUGUUGCUUCGGCGAGCCUGCCUUUUGGCUGCCGGGGGACGUCAGUCCCCGGGUCCGUGCUCGCCGGAGACACCUUAGAACUCUGUCUGAAGAUUGUAGUCCGAGAUUAAAUAUAAAUUAUUUAAAACUUUCAACAACGGAUCUCUUGGUUCCG